UCCGUAGGGUGCAAGCGUUAUCCGGAUUCACUGGGUUUAAAGGGUGCGUAGGUGGGCAGGUAAGUCAGUGGUGAAAUCUCCGGGCUUAACUCGGAAACUGCCAUUGAUACUAUCUGUCUUGAAUACCGUGGAGGUUAGCGGAAUAUGUCAUGUAGCGGUGAAAUGCUUAGAUAUGACAUAGAACACCAAUUGCGAAGGCAGCUGGCUACACGAAUAUUGACACUGAUGCACGAAAGCGUGGGGAUCAAACAGG
This 253-nucleotide ribosomal RNA is filed under the name uncultured bacterium. RNAcentral's name for it is "partial 16S ribosomal RNA". It matches the Rfam family "Bacterial small subunit ribosomal RNA", at positions 524 to 776 of the family's 1533-position model. The record is from RNAcentral.